This 514-nucleotide ribosomal RNA is filed under the name uncultured bacterium. RNAcentral describes it as "bacterial SSU rRNA". It matches the Rfam family "Bacterial small subunit ribosomal RNA", at positions 19 to 518 of the family's 1533-position model. The record is from RNAcentral.
AUGGCUCAGAUUGAACGCUGGCGGCGUGCUUAACACAUGCAAGUCGCGCGUGAAAGGACUUCGGUCCGAGUAAAGCGGCGCACGGGUGAGUAACGCGUGGAUGAUCUACCCAUGAGUUAGGAAUAACGGCUGGAAACGGUCGCUAAUACCAAAUACGCUCCGAUUUCAACUUCGGGGGAAAGGUGGCCUCUGCUUGCAAGCUACUGCUCAUGGAUGAGUCCGCGUCCCAUUAGCUAGUUGGUGGGGUAACGGCCCACCAAGGCGACGAUGGGUAGCCGGUCUGAGAGGAUGACCGGCCACACUGGGACUGGAACACGGCCCAGACUCCUACGGGAGGCAGCAGUGGGGAAUAUUGCGCAAUGGGCGAAAGCCUGACGCAGCGACGCCGCGUGAGGGAUGAAGGUCCUCGGAUCGUAAACCUCUGUCAGGAGGGAAGAACCGCCACGGUGCUAAUCAGCCGUGGUCUGACGGUACCUCCAAAGGAAGCACCGGCUAACUCCGUGCCAGCCGCAGC